RNAcentral lists this long non-coding RNA (1575 nucleotides) under Salvia miltiorrhiza (redroot sage). RNAcentral describes it as "long non-coding RNA (SMIL_LNC005895)". Lineage: Eukaryota; Viridiplantae; Streptophyta; Magnoliopsida; Lamiales; Lamiaceae. The record is from RNAcentral.
UGGCAGCUGAAUGAUUUCUAAAGGUGACUGUCCCAGCAUCUAAUCUUCUUUUGUAUCAGUUAUGUAGAGGGGAAGAAAGAAUUGGAUCCAUUAAAUGUAGUAGUGAAUAAAUUCCUGAGAAUCUAACAAAUCAGAGAAAGCAUGUUUCUGUGUUUGCAGUGAUAAAAAGAUGCGAGAGCUUAUGCAUACAAUGCAAAACCAUCUGAGAUGUCCUUUGUCUAAGCAUGCAAAGAAGGCAUUACACAGCUUCCUGCUUUAGCACCUUCAUGUGGUUUAAUUCGCAAAAUUUACUGGAGAUUCAAAGAGCAGUUGUCUGCCUAAAUUGAUAUUCAACUAAAAGUCAAUAUUGUUUUCAUUAAAAUAAAUGUUAAAGAAAAAAAGAAGGUAAAUUUACUUUUCGACCAUCUGUGAAUCUACAUUAUUAACAUAACAUCUGUGAAUCUCCAUUAUUAACAUAUUCUAGAAUAAAUUAAUACAUCAAACAUAUUACUUGAUAAAAUAUAAUGAUAAAGUAAUUAUUUUGCUGCCAUAUCAAUAUGUUUAUAUUUAUUUGAUUAGAGUUAUACUUAUAAUUAUUAUUAACAUUCCUUUUUAUUGUUAUUUAUUUAUUAUUGUCGUGUUACAAAAUAAAUAUUUAUUUACAGAAUUUUAAAAUUUAUAUACACUAAUUAUGAGCAUGGAAGUUACAUUGCGCAAAACAAUCUCAUUUUCAGGUAUUUUCUAUAGCAUGAGCGCACAAGCUUCUAAGUAUUGUGAAUACAUUAAGCUUAUAUAAUGGUAUUAUAUAAAAGAGAUGAGACAGUUAGUUGCAAGUAAAAGAGAUGUAUGUUUGAGAGAAAGAAGGGCAGUUUGAUCAGUUGCAAGGCUCAGAGGUUGUUUGGCUUUGGCUUCAAAAGAAAGCAUUUGGAAGGUUAUGGUGAUUAGGAAUGCAUACUGCAAAAUGCAAUAAAGCUUUAUCUCCAUGGCUGCAAAUUGUGAUUGUAUUAUGAUAAUGAAGUCGCUAAUAACUGCAUCCAAUAAUCAUCAUAUAUAUAUAUAUAUACACAAAUAUUACAAGAAUCUUACACAAAAAAUGUGACAAAAAAUUUGGGAGACCAAAAAUAGUAAAACAAAAUAAAUACCAUCUUUCUUUCUUUCUUUUUUUUCUUCAUUUUUUUGUUUGGUAAAUGAGAUGUUACAGUUUGUUCAUUCAGAUGCUGAUAGCUCAGAUCAUGGCUAUCAUCUCUACUAGAUUUUGACACACAAAUUUGCUUGAUUUAGAUUGUGUAUAUAACACCAAGGAAGUAGUGUUGGUUAAAGGCCUAAUGUCUAGAUGUGUAGAUACAGUUUUUUUGCCAACAAUUUGAAAUAAAAUCAGCAAUGAAAACUAGCAAAUCUGGUUUCUUGAAGGAUGAAUUCAGACAUCUUGCUUAAGUUGUGUAACUUACUUCUAAUUUCUAAAGAUCAAUUCAGAUUGAUUAUUUUAUUUUUAGUGUACACAAUUUGGUUUUCAACUUUCAAAUAACAGUAAUUUUAUAAUGAAAGUUGAAUAUAUAAUUACUAAGGGACAUAAAACUGCAUAUAUUAUAUAGUAGU